AUGUAAUCAAUAAGAAAAGAAUUGCUUUGACAGAUAACACUUUGAUUGCUCGAUAUCUUGGCAAAUACGGCAUCAUCUGCAUGGAGGAUCUGAUUAUGAGAUCUAUACUGUUGGGAAACGCUUUAAAGAAGCAAAUAACUUCCUGUGGCCCUUCAAAUUAUUCUCUCCACGAGGUGGAAUGAAGUAACAGACCACCCAUUUCACAGAAGGUGGAGAUGCUGGCAACAGGGAGGACCAGAUCAACAGGCUUAUUAGAAGAAUGAACUAA
Molecule: long non-coding RNA, 268 nt
Filed under: Homo sapiens (human)
Lineage: Eukaryota; Metazoa; Chordata; Mammalia; Primates; Hominidae
Description: non-protein coding lnc-STK35-3:1
Source: RNAcentral